RNAcentral lists this ribosomal RNA (250 nucleotides) under uncultured prokaryote. RNAcentral describes it as "partial 16S rRNA". It matches the Rfam family "Bacterial small subunit ribosomal RNA", at positions 525 to 775 of the family's 1533-position model. The record is from RNAcentral.
ACGUAGGGGGCAAGCGUUGUCCGGAAUUAUUGGGCGUAAAGGGCGCGUAGGCGGCUAUAUAAGUCUGGUUUUAAAGUCCUGGGCUCAACCCCGGGAUGGAUUGGAAACUGUAUGACUUGAGUACAGUAGAGGUAAGCGGAAUUCCCAGUGUAGCGGUGAAAUGCGUAGAUAUUGGGAGGAACACCAGUGGCGAAGGCGGCUUACUGGGCUGUAACUGACGCUGAGGCGCGAAAGCUAGGGGAGCAAACGG